RNAcentral lists this ribosomal RNA (253 nucleotides) under uncultured bacterium. Its description in RNAcentral is "partial 16S ribosomal RNA". It matches the Rfam family "Bacterial small subunit ribosomal RNA", at positions 524 to 776 of the family's 1533-position model. The record is from RNAcentral.
UACGAAGGGGGCUAGCGUUGCUCGGAAUCACUGGGCGUAAAGGGCGCGUAGGCGGCCAUUCAAGUCAGAGGUGAAAGCCCAAGGCUCAACCUUGGAACUGCCUUUGAUACUGUUUGGCUUGAGACCGGUAGAGGUAAGUGGAACUGCGAGUGUAGAGGUGAAAUUCGUAGAUAUUCGCAAGAACACCAGUGGCGAAGGCGGCUUACUGGACCGGUUCUGACGCUGAGGAGCGAAAGCGUGGGGAGCGAACAGG